AGAGUUUGAUCAUGGCUCAGAAUCAACGCUGGCGGCGUGCCUAACACAUGCAAGUCGAACGAGAAAGUCCCCGCAAGGGGAUGAGUAAAGUGGCGACCGGGUGAGUAACACGUGGCCAACCUACCCUCGAGCGGGGGAUAACCUGGGGAAACUCGGGCUAAUACCGCAUAACAUCCCGGAGACAUAAGUCUCUGGGACCAAAGGCCCGCAAGGGUCACUUGAGGAGGGGGCUGCGGCCGAUUAGCUAGUUGGUGAGGUAACGGCCCACCAAGGCAAUGAUCGGUAGCCGGCCUGAGAGGGCGCACGGUCACACUGGCACUGAAACACGGGCCAGACUCCUACGGGAGGCAGCAGUGGGGAAUUUUGCACAAUGCCCGAAAGGGUGAUGCAGCAACGCCGCGUGAGGGAUGAAGGCCUUCGGGUCGUAAACCUCUUUCGACCGGGAAAAAUGGACGGGUGAAUAGCCUGUUCUGAUGGUACCGGUGAAGAGCC
This 492-nucleotide ribosomal RNA is filed under the name uncultured Acidobacteriaceae bacterium. RNAcentral's name for it is "bacterial SSU rRNA". It matches the Rfam family "Bacterial small subunit ribosomal RNA", at positions 8 to 494 of the family's 1533-position model. Lineage: Bacteria; Pseudomonadati; Acidobacteriota; Terriglobia; Terriglobales; Acidobacteriaceae. The record is from RNAcentral.